GGUUCCCAGACUAGGGGUCGAAUCGGAGUUACAGCUGCCAGCCUACACCAGAACCACAGCAAUGCAGGAUCCGAGCUGUGUCUGUGACCUACACCACAGCUCACGGCUACACUGGAUCCUUAACCCACUGAGUGAGGCCAGGGAUCGAACCCGCAACCUCAUGGUUCCUAGUCGGAUUUGCUAACCACUGAGCCACGACGGGAACUCCAAUCUUGAAAUUCUUAAUAGCUUUUGCAUAAGAGACCCCUCAUUUUUAUGAGGCCCCACAAAUUACGUAGCUGGUCCUGCAUCUUCCAAUAGCGUUUUAGCAAGAGUUAAGUCUGAGUGUGUGAAAGAGGCCCCAAGAGAUGAUUCCUCCCCCCACCCGCCUCCUUCUUUCCUUCCUUCCCCAAACAUCAAUGGAUGGCAGGUGCUGUCGCAGACACUGGGAUUGAGCAGUGAGCCAGAGUCGCUGCCUUCCUGCCUUCAAGGGAAGGAGGCUGAAGACAAACAACCAGAAGAGAACUUUGUUGGCGAUAAGUGUCAACAGCAAAGGGAUAGAUGAUGACGGGGGAGACUUUUAAGCUGUUGGGGUGCAGGGUUGGAAGAGCUCCCUGAGGCUUUGAUCAGAGACCUGAAUGAAGGGAGGGCAUGCACUGUGUGGAAUAUCAGAAGGAAAGAGAGUCCCAGGCAGAAGGACCAGCAGGUGCAAAGGCCCUGAGGUAGGUGUGUGCUUACCCCGUGGCAGAGACCAGUGUGGUGAGAGCUGGCCAGAGGAGGUGGGUGGAGGGAGAUGAGCUCAGCAAGGUGCAACAGGGCUUAUAAACUGUUGUGAGGCUGUGGUGGGGGUAAGUGAAUGACCAGGUGGGUAGAGGAUUCCUUCAACCAGAGCUGGUUGUUUGUGGCCCCCUAUGCUUAGUACCUGGAGGCCAGAAUGGCAGGGGGCGGGGGAGGAUGGUGUUUCAUUGUCUUCUGGACACUUGGUGACAAGUUGUCCCUGCACAGGGACAAGUGGCAGCCUCAAGCGCGAGCCCUCUGCUGUGGUUGAGGGAUGGUUCCUGUCUUAGCUCUCCACCGCCUCCUCUGAAGCCUGGGCCUCCGCGUCUCGACCUCUGACAAGUUGUGCCACCCAAGAGCCAACCCAGGAGUUCCCAUUAUGGCUCAGUGGGUUAAGAAACCAACGAGUAUCCAUAAGGAUGUGGCUUCAGUCCCUGACCUCUCUCAGUGGGCUAAGGAUCUGCAAUUGCCAUGAGCUGUGGUGUAGGUUGCAGACACAGCUCGAAUCUGUGUUGCUAUGGCUGUGGUGUAGACCGAUGAGACCCCUAGCCUGGGAAUUUCCAUAUGCUGCAGGUGAGGCCCUAAGGGGAAAAAAAAAGGCCAACCCAAAGGCGCCUGAUGAUGUCUGUGCCAGAAGAGCCCCCAGGCUGGCCAUUGCAAUGUGGCUUGGGUGAGCCUUGUUCCCUUUCUCCAAGUGACCUCCGAGAUGCAUGGUGUGCAGGCUGGGGAGUGGGACGGCCAGGCAGCCUCUGCCUCCAGGUCCCAUGGGCAGAGCUGGAAGCUGCUCUGUGCUGUUCUGUGCUUGUGGCUAAACAGAGACCCUUACUCCCAGCCGGUGACCUCAGGGCAGAGGGUCCUGGGGAAAGUGUCCCCUCCCUGGGACCCCAUCUCCUCAUCUGCACUUGGGGAUACUCAUUGAGGAUUCAGUGAGAAGGCAGGUGAAGCACAUAGACUGUGGGAAACCUUCACUCCCUGGGUCCUCGUGGAAGUGGGGACCUGGCCGGAGUGUCACCUCUCAGACCCAGACCCUGGCCACAGCCAGCCCCCUCCCCCCCGCCCCCGAGAAAUGAACUGCAGAGAGUGAAACAACCAGAACAUGCUGUGUGUGACAGGUCCUCGGAGCCACCAUCUGUACCAUGAAGGGGACGGACUCAAGGACCUCGGGGGCCCCCUCGGGCCUUGAGAAUCCAAGAUGGGAAAGUGAGAGCCUCCUGCAGGAUGAUACCACUGCUCCUGCAGACUGCAAGCCCCCAUCUUCACCUUGCGGCCCUAGCGGGUCACCCCCAAAAGGAACUGGCCUGCAGGCAGAAGGCUCUGGCUGUCAGUCCUUCUAUCACAGACCUGGCCCUCCCGCUAUCACACAUGGGAGAGGAACCGUGUCAGGCCGUUGUUACAAGCCCAGACUCUGCAGCCAGCCCUGCUGCUUUCUAGCUGUGUGACCUUGAGCGAGUGACGUAACCUCUCUGAGCCUCAGUCGUCACAGCUGAAAAAUGGGUAUAAAAACAGCAUCUACUGCAUAGGGUUGUGGGAGCCUGUGAGGACCGUGCGUGGCGCCCGCAGCCCUGUAGACGGGCAACACGUUCCUGUCCUGGUGAACUGGUUCCACAGCUGAGGACGGGGUCUCCUUCCCAGGCCCUGGCUUCUCAGCCACCCCCAGAACCCCUGCCUGAGAACCAGUGUCCUCUGGGAGCAGCUGGGCAGGUGUAACCUCGUGACAAGGACAAGACAUCUGGAAAGAAAGGAUUGCAUUGAACAUCGCUGAUGAUGGGGAGUAGGGGACCCCUAAAGCCGUAGUUUGGAGGGAAACUUGACCUUGAAAGGGUGUGAUAACCUAAAAAGAGAGAAGGGCUGAGGCCUGGACCGUCGAACUCCCCCAGGCUGGCUCUGAUGCUGACUCCCACUGCUCUCCUGUCCUUCGGAAUCUGGUUUCCUUCUCCUGAACCAAGGAUAUUAGACCUCACAAGCGAGUCAGAAAACCUCAGGGGGACAUCCAUGAAAAUACGUACCCCGGCCACUGUCGGCCACGUGCUUGGCCGUCCCUGAGGCCCCGCUGGUGCCCAGCCCUAUUCUAAGCACUCCUCAUAUUUGAUUCAUCCCCAUUGAUGGGGAGGCACCGGCUGCCCCCCGGACACAGCAGGGGGCUGGUUUAUCCCCGCCUCUGCGGCCUCACUCGGAUAAUUGAUCCAGGCUUUCUUUCCAGCUUAUCUCUUGGAACAUGGACCCUGGAAAGUCCAAUAUGAGGCCUAUACAGAAGAUUCUUUUCCUUCCCACUGGAUCUCUUCUCCAAUAGUGUUUACUGUCCAGAGUUACACCCAGGAAGAGGCAGCUGGGGGAGCGAUGGCCUUGAGGCAAAAAUUCAGAACCCGCUUGCCAGCACUCACCUUGCCGCUUACGUCUGUGUGGAUGUGACCCAGAUUGGCACAGGGGAUCAGGGCCCUGGUGGGUCUGGAAUCACCUUUAAGGAGCUCAGAGGUGCUUGCUCAGGGUCACACGAGCUAGGCUAGGCUCAGAACGGAGCCCCGGACGGCCUCAUCCUAAAGCCUGCUCUAUACGCCCGCCCCCACAGGGUCCCUAGGAAGCCCCGACCUUGCCCCUCGGACUUGCUGAGUCUUCCUCUGGCUUCAUUACUGGGCAGUGAGGGGGAAAUGAAACACCUGCCAUGUUCUUCCUCUUCCCAGCAAGGAGGCGCCUCAGGAACCCCCACUCCCAGCAGGACCCCGGCAGUCCUGAGGCUGUCCUGGGCCAGCAGGCUUUGUAAAUGGCUCACACAUGCAGAGCCUCUAAAUGAAACGUGGCCACCACCUGCUGGGGGUCAGAGUGUGUCUGUCUGUGUGUGUGUGUGUGUUCGCACGCGUGCAUGUGCCCGUGUGCAUGUGCAUUCAGGGAGCGAGCCCAGAGAGAAGGAGAGACAGGAGACUCAGAGAUGGAGAGGCAGAGGGGACGCUUGGCGCACAGGACCCGAGACAGGAGAGGGGCUUGGCCCAGCCACGGAGCUCGCUGGUGGCUGAGUCCAAAACCGAAACCAGAUCCCCAGACCUUUUAUCCUUACAUCCUCUGGAGCUGCGGGAAAAGUACCAGUUUGCCCAACUGGAGCCUGGGCUAAAGCUCUCUCUUAUAGCCCUCUUCUGAGCAUCCCCUCUAGAGCAAACAGGAGACACACAGGUGACUGGCACCAUGGCUCUGUGUGCUCUGCUUUAGGGCAGCUAAAGCAUGUGUGAGUCACUGCGCGGCCUCCCUCACUGCCACGCUGAGACACCCCCCAUGCACCCUGCGGUCAGGUGUUCACAAGGGGCAAAACCACCUGCCCUUGGCCUCCUGGGUCCCUAUUUCCCCUCGGCCUUCUUAAGCCCUGACUCCUUUAUUUUGCUAACAUUUCUUACUCUAGAGUCCACAGAUUGGGGUGUAUUUACGGGUUGUUUUGUGUGUGUGUGUGUUUUGUUUUUUCAGGGCUACACCUGCGGCAUAUGGAAGUUCCCAGGCUAGGGGUCAAAUUGGAGCUGCAGAUGCCAGCCUUCGCCACAGCCAUAGCAACUCGGGAUCAAGCCGUGUCUGCAACCUACACCACAGCUCAUGGCAACCCUGGAUCCUUAACCCACUGAACGCAGCCAGGGACUGACCCCGCAUCCUCAUGGAUACUAGUCGGGUUGGUAACCCACUGAGCCACAACGGGAACUCCUGUGUUUACAUUUUUAAAUGAUGAGAACUGCCCAUCCAAUAUUCAGGCUACAAUUUCCAUUCCUCAAAGGACAAUAUGUGAAUUCUUUCCACCAGAAGUGGACCAUUGAGGAGUUCCCAUUGUGGCUCAGCAGAAAUGAAUCUGACUAGCAUCCAUGAGGAUGCAGGUUCAAUCCCUGGCCUCGCUCAGUGGAUUAAGGAUCCGGCGUUGCCGUGCGCUGUGGUGUAGGUCACAGACAUGGCUCAGACCCCACGUUGCUGUGGCUAUGGUGUAGGCUGGCAGCUGUAGCUCUGAUUUGACCCCUAGCCUG
This 4742-nucleotide long non-coding RNA is filed under the name Sus scrofa (pig). RNAcentral describes it as "lncRNA (ENSSSCG00005040209.1)". The record is from RNAcentral. Lineage: Eukaryota; Metazoa; Chordata; Mammalia; Artiodactyla; Suidae.